CUGGCUCAGGAUGAACGCUGGCGGUAUGCUUAACACAUGCAAGUCGAACGGUCACUUAGGUGAUAGUGGCGGACGGGUGAGUAACGCGUGAGAAUCUAGCUCUAGGUCGGGGACAACCACUGGAAACGGUGGCUAAUACCGGAUGUGCCGAGAGGUAAAAGGCUUGCUGCCUAGAGAUGAGCUCGCGUCUGAUUAGCUAGUAGGUGUGGUAAGAGCGCACCUAGGCGACGAUCAGUAGCUGGUCUGAGAGGAUGAUCAGCCACACUGGGACUGAGACACGGCCCAGACUCCUACGGGAGGCAGCAGUGGGGAAUUUUCCGCAAUGGGCGAAAGCCUGACGGAGCAAUACCGCGUGAGGGAGGAAGGCUCUUGGGUUGUAAACCUCUUUUCUCAGGGAAUAAAAAAAUGAAGGUACCUGAGGAAUAAGCAUCGGCUAACUCCGUGCCAGCAGCCGCGGUAAUACGGAGGAUGCAAGCGUUAUCCGGAAUGAUUGGGCGUAAAGGGUCCGCAGGUGGCCCUGUAAGUCUGCUGUUAAAGAGUGAGGCUUAACCUCAUAAGAGCAGUGGAAACUACAGAGCUAGAGUGCGUUCGGGGUAGCAGGAAUUCCUGGUGUAGCGGUGAAAUGCGUAGAGAUCAGGAAGAACACCGGUGGCGAAAGCGUGCUACUAGGCCGUAACUGACGCUGAGGGACGAAAGCUAGGGGAGCGAAUGGGAUUAGAUACCCCAGUAGUCCUAGCCGUAAACGAUGGAUACUAGGCGUGGCUUGUAUCGACCCGAGCCGUGCCGGAGCUAACGCGUUAAGUAUCCCGCCUGGGGAGUACGCACGCAAGUGUGAAACUCAAAGGAAUUGACGGGGGCCCGCACAAGCGGUGGAGUAUGUGGUUUAAUUCGAUGCAACGCGAAGAACCUUACCAAGACUUGACAUGUCGCGAAUCCUCUUGAAAGGGAGGAGUGCCUUCGGGAGCGCGAACACAGGUGGUGCAUGGCUGUCGUCAGCUCGUGUCGUGAGAUGUUGGGUUAAGUCCCGCAACGAGCGCAACCCUCGUUUUUAGUUGCCAGCAUUAAGAUGGGCACUCUAGAGAGACUGCCGGUGACAAACCGGAGGAAGGUGGGGAUGACGUCAAGUCAGCAUGCCCCUUACGUCUUGGGCUACACACGUACUACAAUGCUACGGACAAAGGGCAGCUACACAGCGAUGUGAUGCAAAUCUCAGAAACCGUGGCUCAGUUCAGAUCGAAGCUUGCAACUCAGCUUCGUGAAGGAGGAAUCGCUAGUAAUUGCAGGUCAGCAUACUGCAGUGAAUUCGUUCCCGGGCCUUGUACACACCGCCCGUCACACCAUGGAAGCUGGUCACGCCCGAAGUCAUUACCUCAACCUUUCGGGGAGGGGGAUGCCUAAGGUAGGACUGGUGACUGGGGUGAAGUCGUAACAAGGUAGCCGUACCGGAAGGUGUGGCUGGAUCACCUCCUUUUUAGGGAGACCUAAUCCACUCAGAAAUCGAAAGUAACGAAAGUUAUAAAUAGAGGAUGAGAUGGUCUAACCUAGGUCGGUCGCAGAAGUUGAAAAGGCUUUCAAACUAAUAAUUAGGUUCGUUUUGGGCUAUUAGCUCAGGUGGUUAGAGCGCACCCCUGAUAAGGGUGAGGUCCCUGGUUCGAGUCCAGGAUGGCCCACCUGAAAGUAAUGAGUAAUUGCUAACUCGUAAUUCGGAAUUAACGACGAAUUAGGAAUUGAGAAUUACGAAUUAUGAUUUGGGGGUUUAGCUCAGUUGGUAGAGCGCCUGCUUUGCAAGCAGGAUGUCAGCGGUUCGAGUCCGCUAACCUCCACAUGAAAGAGAAAAAGGGAAGUCAGCAACUAACAAGAGAGUUAGACUGCUGGGUAGAACCUAGCCAGAACCUUGAAAACUGCAUAGAAACGCGAAAAAUUAGCAGGCAGACGCAAGUAUCGAAAAGAUAUAGUGUUUGCAGGAAAAAACCAAUUGUUUGUGGUCAAGCUAAUAAGGGCUGAUGGUGGAUACCUAGGCACA
This 2023-nucleotide ribosomal RNA is filed under the name Aliinostoc sp. BACA0435. Its description in RNAcentral is "bacterial SSU rRNA". The stretch from base 1 to 1471 matches the Rfam family "Bacterial small subunit ribosomal RNA". Lineage: Bacteria; Bacillati; Cyanobacteriota; Cyanophyceae; Nostocales; Nodulariaceae. The record is from RNAcentral.